Molecule: ribosomal RNA, 253 nt
Filed under: uncultured bacterium
Lineage: Bacteria
Description: partial 16S ribosomal RNA
Rfam family: Bacterial small subunit ribosomal RNA
Source: RNAcentral
UACAGAGGUCUCGAGCGUUGUUCGGAUUCAUUGGGCGUAAAGCGCGCGUAGGCAGCAGCGUGUGUCGGGCGUGAAAUCCCACGGCUCAACCGUGGAAGUGCACUCGAAACUGCGCAGCUAGAGUCUCGGAGAGGAAGGCGGAAUGCUUGGUGUAGAGGUGAAAUUCGUAGAUAUCAAGCGGAACACCGGUGGCGAAGGCGGCCUUCUGGACGAUGACUGACGCUGAAGCGCGAAAGCGUGGGGAGCAAACAGG